Molecule: long non-coding RNA, 1029 nt
Organism: Camelus dromedarius (Arabian camel)
Lineage: Eukaryota; Metazoa; Chordata; Mammalia; Artiodactyla; Camelidae
Exons: 3
Source: RefSeq, a predicted model, not a curated record
CUUAACGACAUAUCAUUACUGAUGAAUGACAGCAACAUCCUACCUUCAAUGAAAAGAUCUCAGAAUCUUCGUCUGUUAGAGAGGGACAGACCCUCCACCUUCUCCCGCCUGUGAGGAUACAUUCUACGGAGGGUAACACGUUGUUCGACAGCUGACAAUUCUUCUUCAUCUUGCUUCUGGGUAAUUAUAACUCCCAGCUUUCCAACCUGUGCUACAGUCUCCUGGGUGAAUCAGAUGAAGACCUGGAGUCUUUUUGCAUGUUUAAGUAGCAAUCAUCACGUUGUAGGGCUGAUUAAGACCAGCGUGCUGAAAUUCAUCAACUCAGGACACUGCUGUGUGUUACCGAAACAGCUAGUCCAGCGAUGGUGCUGUUCUCUGUGGUCUGAUUACUGUAAAAGUUUGAGGAGCACUGUGCCUACCUUAAAGCAAGAGGAAUGACAGGACCAUGCCAGCAUUACAAUCAACACCUCAAGCAACUGAAACAGUCCCCUGAAUUCCAUGAGGACUCAAUAAACUUUCGAUCAUGAACCACGGAGCAGAGCAUGGAAAGGAAGAGUUACAGAGAGGCUAAAGAGUGUGGGCUUCUGAAUCUCAUCAGCCCUUGAAUGAAGUCCAGAUGUUCAGCCUCUUUCUAUGGACUUGGUGGAUUUAGAAUUGAAGCAACUAUAGCUUUGUUGGGAGUUUUGAAGCCAUGGAGUGUAACACACAGGAGAGACACUAAAGCCACUCAUAAAAAUUUCAACCUCACAUCAUUCAACUUCUCUGGACUUCAAAUACCCUCGUCUCUAAAAUGGAAUGACUGUGACUUACACCUGCCCCUUCCUAGGGCUGGUGGAUUGAACAUAUGAGAUACGCGAAAGUAUUUUGCCAACUUGUGAGACCUAUGCGAAUACUUCUGUCUGUGUGUUUGUUUAUUUGAUUGAUUGUUUAUUUGUAGAAGCUUAUUUCUUGGCACCACCUGGAAAUUCCUAUGCAACUUCACUAAUAUCUACAUUCCUCCAAAUAUAUCUAACAGAUUGAUUCAAGGCC